RNAcentral lists this ribosomal RNA (483 nucleotides) under uncultured bacterium. RNAcentral describes it as "partial 16S ribosomal RNA". It matches the Rfam family "Bacterial small subunit ribosomal RNA", at positions 28 to 507 of the family's 1533-position model. The record is from RNAcentral.
GACGAACGCUGGCGGCGUGCUUAACACAUGCAAGUCGAACGCUGAAGCUCAGCUUUUGUUGGGUGGAUGAGUGGCGAACGGGUGAGUAACACGUGAGUAACCUGCCCCCUUCUUUGGGAUAACGCCCGGAAACGGGUGCUAAUACUGGAUAUUCACUGGUCUUCGCAUGGGGGUUGGUGGAAAGGGUUUUUCUGGUGGGGGAUGGGCUCGCGGCCUAUCAGCUUGUUGGUGGGGUGAUGGCCUACCAAGGCUUUGACGGGUAGCCGGCCUGAGAGGGUGACCGGUCACAUUGGGACUGGGAUACGGCCCAGACUACUACGGGAGGCAGCAGUGGGGAAUAUUGCACAAUGGGCGCAAGCCUGAUGCAGCGACGCCGCGUGAGGGAUGGAGGCCUUCGGGUUGUGAACCUCUUUCGCUCAUGGUCAAGCCGCAACAAUGGUUGUGGUGAGGGUAGUGGGUAAAGAAGCGCCGGCUAACUACGUG